UUAAAUUGAAGAGUUUGAUCAUGGCUCAGAUUGAACGCUGGCGGCAGGCCUAACACAUGCAAGUCGAACGGUAACAGAAAGCAGCUUGCUGCUUUGCUGACGAGUGGCGGACGGGUGAGUAAUGUCUGGGAAACUGCCUGAUGGAGG
RNAcentral lists this ribosomal RNA (147 nucleotides) under Escherichia coli. Its description in RNAcentral is "partial 16S ribosomal RNA". It matches the Rfam family "Bacterial small subunit ribosomal RNA", at positions 1 to 139 of the family's 1533-position model. Lineage: Bacteria; Pseudomonadati; Pseudomonadota; Gammaproteobacteria; Enterobacterales; Enterobacteriaceae. The record is from RNAcentral.